GGAUUCCCCUCUCGGCCGUUGUCUCCCUUCCUCUUCCUCCCGCCGUUGCGGAAAGCGGUUCCGACGGACAUCCGUUCAACCCCUCGUUUUCCUCCUUAUUUCCUCAUACUUAAAAUAAUAACAAUAGUAUGAGAUUUAGUAAAUCUGAUCUUUUAUAGAUAGAUUUUGUUUCUCUAAACCCUAUCUAGGGUUUAGGUUCCUCCUAUCCGAAGAAUUUAUUCACGCUUCUAAGGUUUUUGUGUGCUAAUUUAUAUCAAUUUAUCAAGGUCCGAUUAUGGGCCUCUCUAGACUCUCACAGCUGGGAUCCCGGUUCUUCAUACAGCCUGGAACAGAAAAAGUCUUCCUUUUCCUAGUGCAGCCACUGGUAAAGCUUAUGAGGAAAGCAGUGAACAAAAGAGAAGAUAACUGUGGCAUUUGUUGAUAAAGAUGGCAAUGAAAAGGUCAUCCCAGUUCUUAUUGGAAUGUCAUGUUAGAAGCAGCCCAUGAAAAUGACAUAGAACCUGAAGGUUUUUAUCCUGUGAUCACUAGACAACAUAUAGAUUUUCAUAAGAAUUUGCUUUAUAUAGAAUGUGAACUCAUUUGCCCUUUUCUACAGUCAACAGUUGCUGAUUUGCCUAAGAACCUCUUGAGUAGUCAUGUAUUUGAUCAUCUCCAAUGAUCAAAUACUUUGAUAAGGUUUUUGUGAAUAAUGAAUUUUUAUCUACAAGUGGUUUGAUGAAAUUGUUGUAUCGCAUACCUUUAUAUUGUGUUCAUUAUUCAGUUUUGGUUGCACUAUAUUUCUGAUGUGGUCUCAGGAGCGUGUGAGGGCUCACUAGCUUGUUCUACCUGCCAUGUGAUUGUGAUGGUAUAUUCUUGAUUACUACACUAGAUUGUAUAUAUAAUUUUGAGGAUUUUGAUGCAUCCUCUGACUGGUAUGAUUUUCUCAACUCCAGCAUCAUUUUUU
Elaeis guineensis (African oil palm) is the source of this 943-nucleotide long non-coding RNA. RefSeq lists it as uncharacterized. NCBI's taxonomy places the organism in Eukaryota, Viridiplantae, Streptophyta, Magnoliopsida, Arecales, Arecaceae. The record is from RefSeq and is a predicted model, not a curated record.